CCUACGGGGAGCAGCAGUAGGGAAUUUUCGGCAAUGGGGGGAACCCUGACCGAGCAACGCCGCGUGAACGAAGAAGUUAUUCGUAAUGUAAAGUUCUUUUAACAGGGAAGAAAGAGAAAUUUGACGGUACCUGACGAAUAAGCUCCGGCUAACUACGUGCCAGCAGCCGCGGUAAUAAGUAGGGAGCGAGCGUUAUCCGGAAUUAUUGGGCGAAAAGGGUGCGUAGAUGGCAUAGUAAGUCUUUUGUAAAAAUGCUGGGCUCAACCCAGUAGGGCAAAAGAUACUGCAAAGCUAGAGUAUGACAGAGGCAAGUGGAACUACAGGUGUAGCGGUAAAAUGCGUAAAUAUAUGUAAGAAAACCAGUGGCGAAGGCGGCUUGCUGGGUCGAGACUGACAUUGAGGCACGAAAGCGUGGGGAGCAAACAGGAUUAGAUACCCUUGUAGUC
Molecule: ribosomal RNA, 446 nt
Filed under: uncultured bacterium
Lineage: Bacteria
Description: partial 16S ribosomal RNA
Rfam family: Bacterial small subunit ribosomal RNA
Source: RNAcentral